GAACCCAUGUGCUGGAUUAAAGAUGGUGGAGGAGCUGGAAGGACGUGGGGCACUAGGGUCUCAAGCCCCCAGUGUCACCGGAAAAAAAACGUGACUGAAAAGGGAGAUCCACCUCCAACCUCUUGGAAACUGAUGCAGCUCAGCUGGAGACCACCAGACCUUCACGGGAGCUGGGCAUUGAGGGUGAAAAAGGGAUCCAGAUUUAACACUUCCCCAGCCCUCCUCGCACCCAGAGCCUCAGUCCCUCUUCUGUAAAGUGGAGGUUUCAACUUGCCCCCUCUAGGGCUGGUUAGAGGAUUUUGGGGUCCCUGAAUGACAUCCCCCUCUGCUGGCAAUCUGUGACUUGUCCUUCAAGACUUCUCUAGUUGGCACCUCUCCCAAGAAGCUUUUCCUGAUGCUUGCCUCUCCAGAACAUCGUGGUCAUCUUCCAUGGGAACUGCCUAGUGUCCCCAGUUCUUUCUGUCACUGCUAACCUGUAGAGGUAUGAUGGCUAGAGUCCCAUCCCACUGGCCUGGCAUGGUCUGCCCUCCACCCCAGUAGUUCCUUGGUGUCCAUGCUUCAGUCUGUCUUGCUAAC
Molecule: long non-coding RNA, 576 nt
Organism: Mus musculus (house mouse)
Lineage: Eukaryota; Metazoa; Chordata; Mammalia; Rodentia; Muridae
Product: predicted gene 11211
Exons: 3
Source: RefSeq, marked validated